RNAcentral lists this ribosomal RNA (1435 nucleotides) under uncultured organism. Its description in RNAcentral is "16S ribosomal RNA". It matches the Rfam family "Bacterial small subunit ribosomal RNA". The record is from RNAcentral.
GCUUAACACAUGCAAGUCGAGGGGCAGCAUGGUCUUAGCUUGCUAAGGCCGAUGGCGACCGGCGCACGGGUGAGUAACACGUAUCCAACCUGCCGUCUACUCUUGGACAGCCUUCUGAAAGGAAGAUUAAUACAAGAUGGCAUCAUGAGUCCGCAUGUUCACAUGAUUAAAGGUAUUCCGGUAGACGAUGGGGAUGCGUUCCAUUAGAUAGUAGGCGGGGUAACGGCCCACCUAGUCUUCGAUGGAUAGGGGUUCUGAGAGGAAGGUCCCCCACAUUGGAACUGAGACACGGUCCAAACUCCUACGGGAGGCAGCAGUGAGGAAUAUUGGUCAAUGGGCGAGAGCCUGAACCAGCCAAGUAGCGUGAAGGAUGACUGCCCUAUGGGUUGUAAACUUCUUUUAUAAAGGAAUAAAGUCGGGUAUGCAUACCCGUUUGCAUGUACUUUAUGAAUAAGGAUCGGCUAACUCCGUGCCAGCAGCCGCGGUAAUACGGAGGAUCCGAGCGUUGUCCGGAUUUAUUGGGUUUAAAGGGAGCGUAGAUGGAUGUUUAAGUCAGUUGUGAAAGUUUGCGGCUCAACCGUAAAAUUGCAGUUGAUACUGGAUAUCUUGAGUGCAGUUGAGGCAGGCGGAAUUCGUGGUGUAGCGGUGAAAUGCUUAGAUAUCACGAAGAACUCCGAUUGCGAAGGCAGCCUGCUAAGCUGCAACUGACAUUGAGGCUCGAAAGUGUGGGUAUCAAACAGGAUUAGAUACCCUGGUAGUCCACACGGUAAACGAUGAAUGCUCGCUGUUUGCGAUAUACGGCAAGCGGCCAAGCGAAAGCGUUAAGUAUUCCACCUGGGGAGUACGCCGGCAACGGUGAAACUCAAAGGAAUUGACGGGGGCCCGCACAAGCGGAGGAACAUGUGGUUUAAUUCGAUGAUACGCGAGGAACCUUACCCGGGCUUAAAUUGCAGAUGAAUUACGGUGAAAGCCGUAAGCCGCAAGGCAUCUGUGAAGGUGCUGCAUGGUUGUCGUCAGCUCGUGCCGUGAGGUGUCGGCUUAAGUGCCAUAACGAGCGCAACCCUUGUUGUCAGUUACUAACAGGUUCCGCUGAGGACUCUGACAAGACUGCCAUCGUAAGAUGUGAGGAAGGUGGGGAUGACGUCAAAUCAGCACGGCCCUUACGUCCGGGGCUACACACGUGUUACAAUGGGGGGUACAGAGGGCCGCUACCACGCGAGUGGAUGCCAAUCCCAAAAACCUCUCUCAGUUCGGACUGGAGUCUGCAACCCGACUCCACGAAGCUGGAUUCGCUAGUAAUCGCGCAUCAGCCACGGCGCGGUGAAUACGUUCCCGGGCCUUGUACACACCGCCCGUCAAGCCAUGGGAGCCGGGGGUACCUGAAGUGCGUAACCGCGAGGAGCGCCCUAGGGUAAAACUGGUGACUGGGGCUAAG